Molecule: ribosomal RNA, 427 nt
Filed under: uncultured bacterium
Lineage: Bacteria
Description: partial 16S ribosomal RNA
Rfam family: Bacterial small subunit ribosomal RNA
Source: RNAcentral
UGGGGAAUAUUGCACAAUGGGCGCAAGCCUGAUGCAGCCAUGCCGCGUGUAUGAAGAAGGCCUUCGGGUUGCAAAGUACUUUCAGCGGGGAGGAAGGUGUUGAGGUUAAUAACCUCAGCAAUUGACGUUACCCGCAGAAGAAGCACCGGCUAACUCCGUGCCAGCAGCCGCGGUAAUACGGAGGGUGCAAGCGUUAAUCGGAAUUACUGGGCGUAAAGCGCACGCAGGCGGUCUGUCAAGUCGGAUGUGAAAUCCCCGGGCUCAACCUGGGAACUGCAUUCGAAACUGGCAGGCUAGAGUCUUGUAGAGGGGGGUAGAAUUCCAGGUGUAGCGGUGAAAUGCGUAGAGAUCUGGAGGAAUACCGGUGGCGAAGGCGGCCCCCUGGACAAAGACUGACGCUCAGGUGCGAAAGCGUGGGGAGCAAACA